This 452-nucleotide ribosomal RNA is filed under the name uncultured bacterium. RNAcentral's name for it is "partial 16S ribosomal RNA". It matches the Rfam family "Bacterial small subunit ribosomal RNA", at positions 29 to 523 of the family's 1533-position model. The record is from RNAcentral.
AGCGAACGCUGGCGGCAGGCUUAACACAUGCAAGUCGAGCGGGCAUCUUCGGGUGUCAGCGGCGGACGGGUGAGUAACGCGUGGGAACGUGCCUUCUGGUUCGGAAUAACUCAGGGAAACUUAAGCUAAUACCGGAUACGCCCUUUUUGGGGAAAGGUUUACUGCCGGAAGAUCGGCCCGCGUCUGAUUAGCUAGUUGGUGGGGUAACGGCCUACCAAGGCGACGAUCAGUAGCUGGUCUGAGAGGAUGAUCAGCCACACUGGGACUGAGACACGGCCCAGACUCCUACGGGAGGCAGCAGUGGGGAAUAUUGGACAAUGGGCGCAAGCCUGAUCCAGCCAUGCCGCGUGAGUGAUGAAGGCCUUAGGGUUGUAAAGCUCUUUUAUCCGGGACGAUAAUGACGGUACCGGAGGAAUAAGCACCGGCUAACUCUGUGCCAGCAGCCGCCGUAA